CCGGCGCACGGGUGAGUAACGCGUAUACAAUUUGCCUUUUACUGAAGAAUAGCCCAGAGAAAUUUGGAUUAAUGCUCAUAGUAUUAUUUGGUCACCUGGCCGAGUAAUUAAAGCUCCGGCGGUAAAAGAUGAGUAUGCGUCCUAUUAGCUAGAUGGUAAGGUAACGGCUUACCAUGGCGACGAUAGGUAGGGGUCCUGAGAGGGAGAUCCCCCACACUGGUACUGAGACACGGACCAG
This 238-nucleotide ribosomal RNA is filed under the name uncultured bacterium. Its description in RNAcentral is "partial 16S ribosomal RNA". It matches the Rfam family "Bacterial small subunit ribosomal RNA", at positions 95 to 334 of the family's 1533-position model. The record is from RNAcentral.